RNAcentral lists this ribosomal RNA (772 nucleotides) under Staphylococcus sp. idli_34. RNAcentral describes it as "bacterial SSU rRNA". It matches the Rfam family "Bacterial small subunit ribosomal RNA", at positions 80 to 835 of the family's 1533-position model. The record is from RNAcentral. Lineage: Bacteria; Bacillati; Bacillota; Bacilli; Caryophanales; Staphylococcaceae.
UUGCUCCUUUGACGGUAGAGGCGGACGGGUGAGUAACACGUGGAUAACCUACCUAUUUGACUGGGAUAACUUCGGGAAACCGGAAUUAAUACCGGAUAAUAUAUUGAACCGCAUGGUUCAGUAGUGAAAGACGGUUUUGCUGUCUCUUAUAUAUGGAUCCACGCCGCAUUAUCUAGUUGGUAAGGUAACGGCUUACCAAGGCAACAAUGCGUAGCCUACCUGAGAGGGUGAUCGGCCACACUGGAACUGAAACACGGUCCAAACUCCUACGGGAGGCAGCAGUAGGGAAUCUUCCGCAAUGGGCGAAAGCCUGACGGAGCAACGCCGCGUGAGUGAUGAAGGUCUUCGGAUCGUAAAACUCUGUUAUUAGGGAAGAACAAAUGUGUAAGUAACUAUGCACGUCUUGACGGUACCUAAUCAGAAAGCCACGGCUAACUACGUGCCAGCAGCCGCGGUAAUACGUAGGUGGCAAGCGUUAUCCGGAAUUAUUGGGCGUAAAGCGCGCGUAGGCGGUUUUUUAAGUCUGAUGUGAAAGCCCACGGCUCAACCGUGGAGGGUCAUUGGAAACUGGAAAACUUGAGUGCAGAAGAGGAAAGUGGAAUUCCAUGUGUAGCGGUGAAAUGCGCAGAGAUAUGGAGGAACACCAGUGGCGAAGGCGACUUUCUGGUCUGUAACUGACGCUGAUGUGCGAAAGCGUGGGGAUCAAACAGGAUUAGAUACUCCUGGGUAGUCCACGCCGUAAACGAUGAGUGCUAAGUGGUUAGGGGGUUUU